This 402-nucleotide ribosomal RNA is filed under the name uncultured Gammaproteobacteria bacterium. Its description in RNAcentral is "bacterial SSU rRNA". It matches the Rfam family "Bacterial small subunit ribosomal RNA", at positions 9 to 416 of the family's 1533-position model. Lineage: Bacteria; Pseudomonadati; Pseudomonadota; Gammaproteobacteria. The record is from RNAcentral.
GAGUUUGAUCGUGGCUCAGAAUCAACGCUGGCGGCAGGCCUAACACAUGCAAGUCGAGCGCGAAAGGCCUUCGGGCUGAGUAGAGCGGCGGACGGGUGAGUAACGCGUAGGAAUCUACCCAAUAGUGGGGGACAACCUGGGGAAACUCAGGCUAAUACCGCAUACGCCCUACGGGGGAAAGCGGGGGACCUUCGGGCCUCGUGCUAUUGGAUGAGCCUGCGUUGGAUUAGCUAGUUGGUAGGGUAAAGGCCUACCAAGGCGACGAUCCAUAACUGGUCUGAGAGGAUGAUCAGUCACACUGGAACUGAGACACGGUCCAGACUCCUACGGGAGGCAGCAGUGGGGAAUAUUGCGCAAUGGGCGAAAGCCUGACGCAGCCAUGCCGCGUGUGUGAAGAAGGCC